UACAGGUUUGGUCCCAGCCUUACUAUUAGUUGUCAGUAAGAUUAUACAUGCAAGUAACCGCGCACCGGUGAGAAUGCCCUCUAAAUUGCAUAAUCAAAAGGAGCAGGCAUCAAGCACGCCAAGCGGCAGCUCUUCACGCCUUGCUAAACCACACCCCCACGGGAUACAGCAGUGACAAAAUUUAAGCAAUAAACGAAAGUUUGACUAAGCUAUACUGAAAUAAGGGUUGGUAAAUUUUCGUGCCAGCCACCGCGGUCAUACGAUUAACCCAAACUAAUAAAGACGGCGUAAAGUGUGUUUUAGAAUACCAAAAAUAAAGUUAAAUUUUAUCUAAGCCGUAAAAUGCCCCAGCUAAAACAAAAUAACCCACGAAAGUGACUUUAACACUCUGAAAACACGAAAGCCAAGACUCAAACUGGGAUUAGAUACCCCACUAUGCUUGGCCAUAAACUUAAGUGACUAAUAAACAAAAUCACUCGCCAGAAUACUACAAGCAAUAGCUUAAAACUUAAAGGACUUGACGGUGCUUUAAUUCCCUCUAGAGGAGCCUGUUCUAUAAUCGAUAAACCCCGAUAAACCUCACCACCCCUUGCUAAUCCAACCUAUAUACCGCCAUCCCCAGCAAACCCUAUCAAGGCUACAAAGUAAGCACAAACAUUCAACAUAAAAACGUUAGGUCAAGGUGUAGUCCAUGGAGUGGAAAGAAAUGGGCUACAUUUUCUACUUACAGAACAUCAUCCCACCAAAACCCUAUGAAACUAGGAACUAAAGGAGGAUUUAGUAGUAAAUCAAGAAUAGAGAGCUUGAUUGAACAAGGCCAUGAAGCACGUACACACCGCCCGUCACCCUCCUCAACCCUUACAUAACUAGUUCCCUAAACACAAGAAACAUAAUACAAGAGGAGAUAAGUCGUAACAAGGUAAGCAUACUGGAAAGUGUGCUUGGAAAAAAU
This 952-nucleotide non-coding RNA is filed under the name Lepilemur jamesi (James' sportive lemur). RNAcentral's name for it is "Lepilemur jamesorum (James' sportive lemur) 12S ribosomal RNA". It matches the Rfam family "Bacterial small subunit ribosomal RNA". Lineage: Eukaryota; Metazoa; Chordata; Mammalia; Primates; Lepilemuridae. The record is from RNAcentral.